AUUGAACGCUGGCGGCAUGCCUUACACAUGCAAGUCGAACGGCAGCACGGGAGCAAUCCUGGUGGCGAGUGGCGAACGGGUGAGUAAUAUAUCGGAACGUGCCCAGUCGUGGGGAUAACGUAGCGAAAGCUACGCUAAUACCGCAUACGAUCUAUGGAUGAAAGCGGGGGAUCGCAAGACCUCGCGCGAUUGGAGCGGCCGAUAUCAGAUUAGGUAGUUGGUGGGGUAAAGGCUCACCAAGCCGACGAUCUGUAGCUGGUCUGAGAGGACGACCAGCCACACUGGGACUGAGACACGGCCCAGACUCCUACGGGAGCAGCAGUGGGGAAUUUUGGACAAUGGGCGCAAGCCUGAUCCAGCAAUGCCGCGUGCAGGAUGAAGGCCUUCGGGUUGUAAACGUGU
This 402-nucleotide ribosomal RNA is filed under the name uncultured bacterium. RNAcentral describes it as "bacterial SSU rRNA". It matches the Rfam family "Bacterial small subunit ribosomal RNA", at positions 30 to 433 of the family's 1533-position model. The record is from RNAcentral.